CGGGCGGCCUCGGGAGCGGGCCGUUUCCGAGGGUCUCCUGGCCCGCCUGAGCCGCAGAGCGGGGGCGCGCAGCGUUCGGAACGCCGCCGCCCGGCC
This 96-nucleotide transfer RNA is filed under the name Bordetella trematum. Its description in RNAcentral is "tRNA-???(cc)". Lineage: Bacteria; Pseudomonadati; Pseudomonadota; Betaproteobacteria; Burkholderiales; Alcaligenaceae. The record is from RNAcentral.